RNAcentral lists this ribosomal RNA (376 nucleotides) under uncultured bacterium. RNAcentral's name for it is "bacterial SSU rRNA". It matches the Rfam family "Bacterial small subunit ribosomal RNA", at positions 524 to 898 of the family's 1533-position model. The record is from RNAcentral.
UACGAAGGUGGCAAGCGUUACUCGGAAUUACUAGGCGUAAAGCGCAGGUAGGCGGUUCGGUAAGUCUUUUGUGAAAGCUCCCGGCUUAACUGGGAGAGGCCAAGGGAUACUGCCGGACUUGAGUGUGGUAGAGGAAACUGGAAUUCCCGGUGUAGCGGUGAAAUGCGUAGAUAUCGGGAGGAAUACCUAAGGCGAAAGCAGGUUUCUGGGCCAUCACUGACGCUGAGCUGCGAAAGCUAGGGGAGCAAACAGGAUUAGAUACCCUGGUAGUCCUAGCCCUAAACGAUGCUCAUUAGAUGUGGGGGGUAUCGACCCCUUCCGCGUCGACGCUAACGCAUUAAAUGAGCCGCCUGGGGAGUACGGCCGCAAGGUUGAA